AAGUGCCCGAGACCUAUUGAGGCCCACUAUACUCUCCAAGAAGUCAAAGAAGGGAUUUGCAAAAAUUACUUGGGGAACAAAUCGCUGGCCUACAAAAUUCUACAAAUAGGGAUACUACUGAUCCACCAUGAAGAAAGAUGUAGCUGAGUUUGUUCGAAGAUGCGAGGCAUAUCAAAAGUAUGCCAAUCUGCAGUAUCAACCGGCC
Molecule: long non-coding RNA, 205 nt
Filed under: Elaeis guineensis (African oil palm)
Lineage: Eukaryota; Viridiplantae; Streptophyta; Magnoliopsida; Arecales; Arecaceae
Description: long non-coding RNA (EGUI_LNC030816)
Source: RNAcentral